This 253-nucleotide ribosomal RNA is filed under the name uncultured bacterium. RNAcentral's name for it is "partial 16S ribosomal RNA". It matches the Rfam family "Bacterial small subunit ribosomal RNA", at positions 524 to 776 of the family's 1533-position model. The record is from RNAcentral.
UACGGAGGGGGCUAGCGUUGUUCGGAAUUACUGGGCGUAAAGCGCACGUAGGCGGAUCAGUCAGUCAGGGGUGAAAUCCCGGGGCUCAACCCCGGAACUGCCUUUGAAACUGCUGGUCUGGAGGUCGAGAGAGGCGAGUGGAAUUCCGAGUGUAGAGGUGAAAUUCGUAGAUAUUCGGAGGAACACCGGUGGCGAAGGCGGCCCUCUGGACGGUGACUGACGCUGAGACGCGAAAGCGUGGGGAGCAAACAGG